AGACAUUAGUAAUAAAAUAGCUAAAACAAUUUUAAUUUUACAAAUGGUCAUACAGAAAAUAAAAUUCAUAAUAUUUCAAACUUUUCAAAAAUAAUGAAACAAUCACAAUUUCAAACACAAUGCAAAAACAACAGUAUCUAUCACAUUCUUUAAACUUCAUGCAUUCAUUGUCAUUCAUUUUAACAGGUUCUCAAUGGAAGAGGUUAGGCUUCUGAAUUUAAAAUGAUCCAAACACAUGCAUCAAAAUUCUCUUCCCAAGUUGUUUAUAAAAUAUAGUCAUGAGACAUGGUCAUAACCAGAUUCUCCGCAGGGCGCAGCUUUAUACGACCGCAGAGGUUGAACCCUGAACGGUUGGGACAAGUAUGGACACAACAUUCAAGCUGGAUUCAGCUCUAAAUUUGAAUUGUGAUUAAAUAGUUGACACAGCAUAGGUUUCUGACACAGAAUGAAUGUGGUCUAAUGAACUUAAAAUAUUUUUUUUGCCUUUGAGCAAUUCACUAUGCUGUUGAAUAUUAAUCCUCUCAAAAAAUGUUUGAAGAAAUUUUCCUUUUAUUUAAGAAAUCUGAAAUGAGAAAUAUUGUGCAAUAGAUAUUUCUUGCUAUUGCGCAAUACUGUGCAAUUGAAAAUAUUUGCUAUUGCACAAUACUGUGCAAUUGAAGAUUUCUUGCUAUUGCGCAAUACUGUGCAAUUGAAAAUUUCUUGCUAUUGCACAAUACUGUGCAAUUGAAGAUUUCUUGCUAUUGCUGAAUACUGUGCAAUUGAAAAUUUAUACUUAAUAAUAUAAUAAUUUUGGAUCCUGAUUUGAACCAACUUGAAAACUGGGCCCAUAAUCAAAAAUCUAAGUACAUGUUUAGAUUCAGCAUAUCAAAAAAGUCCAAGAAUUCAAUUUUUGUUAAAAAUCAAAUUUAGUUUAAUUUUGGACCCUUUGGACUUUAAUGUAGACCAAUUUGAAAACAGGACCAAAAAUUAAGAAUCUACAUACACAGUUAGAUUUGGCAUAUCAAAGAACCCCAAUUAUUCAAUUUUUGAUGAAAUCAAACGAAAUUUAAUUUUGGACCCGAUUUGGACCAACUUGAAAACUGGGCCAAUAAUAAAAAAUCUAAGGACAUUUUUAGAUUCAGCAUAUCAAAGAACCCCAAGGAUUCAUUUCUUGUUAAAAUGAAACUAAGUUUAAUUUUGGACCCUUUGGACCUUAAUGUAGACCAAUUUGAAAACGGGACCAAAAAUUAAGAAUCUACAUACACAGUUAGAUUUGGCAUAUCAAAGAACCCCAAUUAUUCAAUUUUUGAUGAAAUCAAACAAAGUUUAAUUUUGACCC
This 1318-nucleotide long non-coding RNA is filed under the name Mytilus galloprovincialis (Mediterranean mussel). The record is from RNAcentral. Lineage: Eukaryota; Metazoa; Mollusca; Bivalvia; Mytilida; Mytilidae.